Molecule: unclassified non-coding RNA, 21 nt
Filed under: Dictyostelium discoideum
Lineage: Eukaryota; Evosea; Eumycetozoa; Dictyosteliales; Dictyosteliaceae
Source: RNAcentral
GUCCAAAAUCAGAUUGCAUCA